Long non-coding RNA from Athalia rosae (coleseed sawfly), 213 nucleotides. RefSeq lists it as uncharacterized. The transcript has 2 exons. Lineage: Eukaryota; Metazoa; Arthropoda; Insecta; Hymenoptera; Athaliidae. The record is from RefSeq and is a predicted model, not a curated record.
AAUACAUUGUCAUAAGAUGAUUAGAGUUUAAGUUCAGUGUAAUUAGCGUAAAAGCGUAAAGUAUUUUCAGUGCAUUAAACUCAAAGUUCACAUUUUCUUGCAAAAUUCUUUUCGCGAGAAAAAUUCAAGCAGUGUAAAACUCAUUAGGUGUCCAUGGCAGUAACACUACAUGAAAUUAUAUGAGAAUGAUCGAGAAAUAUUGUUCCAUAUUUA